RNAcentral lists this ribosomal RNA (568 nucleotides) under uncultured bacterium. RNAcentral's name for it is "partial 16S ribosomal RNA". It matches the Rfam family "Bacterial small subunit ribosomal RNA", at positions 355 to 912 of the family's 1533-position model. The record is from RNAcentral.
UGGGGAAUAUUGCACAAUGGGCGCAAGCCUGAUGCAGCCAUGCCGCGUGUGUGAAGAAGGCCUUCGGGUUGUAAAGCACUUUCAGCGAGGAGGAAGGUGGUGAACUUAAUACGUUCAUCAAUUGACGUUACUCGCAGAAGAAGCACCGGCUAACUCCGUGCCAGCAGCCGCGGUAAUACGGAGGGUGCAAGCGUUAAUCGGAAUUACUGGGCGUAAAGCGCACGCAGGCGGUUUGUUAAGUCAGAUGUGAAAUCCCCGGGCUCAACCUGGGAACUGCAUUUGAAACUGGCAAGCUAGAGUCUCGUAGAGGGGGGUAGAAUUCCAGGUGUAGCGGUGAAAUGCGUAGAGAUCUGGAGGAAUACCGGUGGCGAAGGCGGCCCCCUGGACGAAGACUGACGCUCAGGUGCGAAAGCGUGGGGAGCAAACAGGAUUAGAUACCCCUGGUAGUCCACGCUGUAAAACGAUGUCGAUUUUGGAGGUUGUGCCCUUGAGGCGUGGCUUCCGGAGCUAACGCGUUAAAUCGACCGCCUGGGGAGUACGGCCGCAAGGUUAAAACUCAAAGGAAUUG